GCCCCCCCCCCCCCCCCGGGUUUUCUUUAAAAGUUGGGGGCAAAUUUUGCCAAUGAAAAGGGCCCCCCCCCCCGGCUUUUCUUAACAGGUGCGGGCAAAUUCUUUAAAUGGACAGGGCCCCCCCCCGGGCUUUCCUGACAGGUGCGGGCAGAUUCUGUGCAUGGACAGGGCCCCCCCGGGCUGUCUUGACAGGUGCGGGCAGAUUCUUUGCAUGGACAGGGCCCCCCCGGGCUUUCCUGACAGGUGCGGGCAGAUGCUGUACAUGGACAGGGCCCCCCCGGGCUGUCUUGACAGGUGCGGGCAGAUCUGCGCAUGGACAGGGCCCCCCCCCCCGGGCUGUCCUGACAGGUGCGGGCAGAUGCUGUGCAUGGACAGGGCCCCCCCGGGCUGUCCUGACAGGUGCGGGCAGAUGCUGUACAUGGACAGGGCCCCCCCGGGCUGUCCUGACAGGUGCGGGCAGAUGCUGUGCACGGCCAGGGCCCCGUGGCUGCCCGCAGCACAGCUGGACACAGAGGCAGCCGGGGUCAGCUGGGGGCAGGCAGAGGGCAGGACACUGGCUCCAUCUGGGUGGACCACCUCCCCAGAGACCCUCAGCUCCCUCAGGGGUGCUCUGGGAGCUGGGCCCUGUGUGGGAGGAGCCGGGGCCGGGGCGGGUGAGACAAGGCCACCCAGAGGGGCAAGCAAGGGCAUCCAGGCUCAGGGCUGGGCCUAGGAGGACCCUGAGCCGGCCACUCGGGCAGCGUGUGACCGUGCCGGGGGCCGGGUGCUGGCUCCGGCAGCAGUGGGAAGGGACACCUGGCUGGUCCCGUGGAGAAUCCAGCCCGCCCGCGUCUGACCCAGGCCCCGGGGAGGGGCUGGUAGCCCUGGGGCACAGACGGGAGCCACCCAGGCCGCGGGGAGGGGCCGGGCAUGGGCUGAGGGGCCCAGGUGCUCUGAGAAUCCCAGGGCCAGCUCUGUUGGUCAGAACAGUGACCCCGCCUCACCCCCGGCCUGGCUCAUGACCAGUGCCAGGGGGGCAUACUAGCUUUCCCGGGCAGUGACCGGUGCCCUCGCAGGUGAGUGACGGGGACCUGAGGUGGACACCUGCAUGCGCUCACCCCCUCCCGGUGGGCCCUGGGGGUCUUCAGCUGUGGCUGCUCCACAUAGCACACGCCCCUGCGCCCCCACGGCUGGGCCGCUGGUCCUGCUAUUUCUUUAACAUUUAUUUGUUUGAGAGGCAGAGUUACAGACAGAGGGAGAGACAGAGAGAAUCUUCCAUCCGCUGGUUCACUUCCCAGGUGGCUGCAAUGGCCGGGGCUGGGCCAGGAGCCAGGAGCUUCUUCCGGGUCUCCACGUGGGUGCAGGGCCCAAGCACCUGGGCCGUCUGCUGCUGCUUUCCCAGGCCACAGCAGGGAGCUGGGGGGGAGGUGGGUGCUGCAUGCGGGGGCUUCCCUGCCACACCAUGUGGCCUAGCGUGUGGCUCUGGGAGAAUCCGGGCUGCUCUGCCCCUCUACCAGCGACAUGUGUGCUUCUGGCCCCCACGCUCCCCACGUCGCACCCUCAGUGCGACUGACCGCCCAUGUAGCAGCGUGUAACAGGCAUAUGGCAGGUGUGUGGUAGGCAUGUAGCAGGAAUGUGAUAGGUGUGCAGCAAAUGUGGUCGGCGUGUAGCAGGUGUGUAACAUGCAUGUAGGUGCAUGACAGGCACACAGCAAGCAUGUAGCAGGCAUGUAAAAGGCAUGUGUCAGGAGCAUAGUGGGCAUGUGACAGGUGUGCAACAGGCAUGCAGCAGGCAUGUAACAGGCAUGUAUGUGUGUGACAGGUGUGUAACUGGCAUGUAAAAGGCAUGUGUCGGGCAUGUAGCGGGCAUGUGGCAGGCAUGUGGCUGCUGUCCUGUGGUUUCCCACGUGUUCUCCUGGUGGCGUCCUGCUGCGCACCUGUGUGCUCGCUCGUCAGCCAGCACCCUCCUGCUCCGCGCCGUGCUCAGCCUGUUAAAUCUGGUCCCCACCGUCUGGCCUUCUCAUUCUCCCGUGUCUCUAACUCAGACGCCUUCAUUUGGAUGAAGUCCAGUUUGUCCCUUUUCCUUUUGUGGGUCAGGCUCACGGUGUCCACAGACCGUGCUGGCUUCCUCGCGGUGAAACCCACCGCGUGUGAUGUUGACACAGCCACUCGUGUUUUUCCCACGUGUCCGCAUGCGGUGGCUUCUUUAUUUACUUACUUGAAAGGCAGAGUGACAGCGAGGGAGACAGAGACGCCUUUGGUCUGCUGGCUCGCUCCCCUAAUGCCAGGCUGGCACCGGGAGCCAGGAGCCCUGGUGGGGUCCCCACGCGGUGGCUGCCAUCAUGUGGUCCUCCCGGGGACAGCAGCAGGAGCUUGGCUGGGCCGCGUGGAGCUGGAGCGUUGCACCUGCCGGUGCCUCUCCUCUCCUUGCUCCUAGUUUUAUUCUUUUAUAAUUUUUGCUCUGAGACGUCUAACUCAUAAAGAUAACGGCAGGCGUAGGACUUGACCUGCGCGUCUCGCCGUCUACUGGCAGUUUUCUUCCUGGGAAGUCUUCCAGAAAUAAAGGACGAGUGUAUGGAAUGACGCUCA
This 2567-nucleotide long non-coding RNA is filed under the name Oryctolagus cuniculus (rabbit). RNAcentral's name for it is "lncRNA (ENSOCUG00000031857.1)". Lineage: Eukaryota; Metazoa; Chordata; Mammalia; Lagomorpha; Leporidae. The record is from RNAcentral.